Molecule: long non-coding RNA, 1750 nt
Organism: Oncorhynchus tshawytscha (Chinook salmon)
Lineage: Eukaryota; Metazoa; Chordata; Actinopteri; Salmoniformes; Salmonidae
Source: Ensembl
GGAGGUUGUCGUGGAAAUUCAGUACUGAGAGAGACUUAGUAAUUUCUUCAAAUAAUCAUCUUUAUUUAAUAUUGAUUAAUUAUUGCAAUAAUGAAACCGUCAGCCCAAGAGUCUUGACUGUUGGACCGAGUGCUUGAAUCAUACAGAGAAUACUGUGUCUUUAUAUACCAAACUUAAAAGUGUUUCAAUUAUGGCUGGCUCCACCAUUCCCAGAUAGAUUGGGGGUGCACCAUGAGCCACUUUGGACUCAUCCUGUCUUUAUCUGCCCUGGCGUUAUCUUAACCCCCCGACCCUGGCCUCAUUUCCCAGGCCAGGAUGUCUAAGGACCACUGAGGCCUUUGUUCUACUCCUCUCUAUCCCAGCUAAACAUACACCAUAUCUUGUCUAUGGAAUGCAGGCUCAAUCAGACCAGAGACAUAUGUCUCACAUGCACCACUAAUCAUAGAAUGGAAUGUGGAUAUUUGGUUUCUUAUCACCGAGACAUCAAUCAGUUGUCAGCUUCAAGCCAUUUCUAGUAAAAACCCAUGUACUUGACACCCAGACUAGCUGCAGGAAGCUGGAGUUGACACCAUAAAACUCAACAUUAGCAGGACGGAAAUACCUUACUGUUUGUUAAGUAAAUAAAAAUGAAAUAUCCACCAAAUAAGGUGAAUACAUAAUAUUUCUAUCACAAGGUCCAUUUGUAAGAACCAACUAUCAGAACCUAACCAGAACCAGACCAUUACAUCCAGAUGUCCUGCUCAAAAUGAAUUAUUGCAUUUGUUUGCAUUUUCCCCCUGGAUCUGAUUUACGUUAGCAUUUUGCAUGGUAUGUCAAAUUAUGGAUUACUACCUUUUCUCAAUGAGGUUAAACCUCCCUGAAAUAACUGAACCAAGGCCGGGGGCCUGUUUUUUAAUCAGAAUGCACAUUGGCAGUAUGGCGGAAUGGCACCCCAAUUCUUCAUGGCAUCACCAUUCAGUGGAAAACAAUAAGAUGUACACUACCGUUCAAAAGUUCGUGAUCACUUAGAAAUGUUCUUGUUUUUGCCCAUUAAAAUAACAUCAAAUUGAUCAGAAAUAAUGUAGACAUUGUUAAUGUUGUAAAUGACUAUUGUAGCUGGAAACAACAGAUUUUUUAUGGAAUAUCUACAUACAGUAGGCGUACAGAAGCCCACUAUCAGUAACCAGCACUCCUGUGUUCCAAUGGCAUGUUGUGUUAGCUUAUCCAAGUUUAUCAUUUUAAAAGGCUAAUUGAUCGUUAGAAAACUUUUUUGCAAUUAUGUUAGCACAGCUGAAAACAGUCCUUCUUUAGACUAGUUGAGUAUCUGGAGCAUCAGCAUUUGUGGGUUCAAUUGCAGGCUCAAAAUGACCAGAAACAAACAACUUUCUUCUGAAACUUGACAGUCUAUUAUUAUUCUGAGAAAUGAAGGCUAUUCCAUGAGGGAAAUUGCCAAGAAACUGAAGAUCUCGUACAACGCUGUGUACUACUCCCUUCACAGAACAGAGCAAACGGGCUCUAACCAGAAUAGAAAGAGGAGUGGGAGGCCCCGGUGCACAACUGAGCAAGAGGACAAGUACAUUAGAGUGUCUAGUUUGAGAAACAGACGCCUCACAAGUCCUUAACUGCCAGCUUCAUUAAAUAGUACCCGCAAAACACCAGUCUCAAUGUCAACAGUGAAGAGGCGACUCCAGGAUGCUGGCCUUCUAGGCAGAGUUGCAAAGAAAAAUCCAUAUCUUCGACUGACCAAUAAAAUAAAAUAUUAAGAUGGGCA